UACAGAGGGUGCAAGCAUUAAUCGGAUUUAUUGGGCGUAAAGGGCGCGUAGGCGGGGAUGAAAGUCAGAUGUGAAAUCCCAGGGCUCAACCUCGGAACAGCAUAUGAAACUCCAUUUCUAGAGGAUAGGCGGAGAAAACGGAAUUCCACAAGUAGCGGUGAAAUGCGUAGAUAUGUGGAAGAACACCGGUGGCGAAGGCGGUUUUCUAGCUUAUACCUGACGCUGAGGCGCGAAAGCAAGGGGAUCAAACAGG
Molecule: ribosomal RNA, 253 nt
Filed under: uncultured bacterium
Lineage: Bacteria
Description: partial 16S ribosomal RNA
Rfam family: Bacterial small subunit ribosomal RNA
Source: RNAcentral